CAGCAAUUGAGGCUGUUCAGAGACUCAGGAAUUCAAGUAUUGCCUGAAAGCUUAUCGUAGAAAGAAAACGAGGCUAUCGUUUUAAGAGAAGCAACAAUGUUCAUUAGUCAUAUAACAGAUUCUCAAAUAUCCACACGACGUGCAACACUCACUGCACUAGCUUUCACUGCAGUCUGACAAAGCCUGUAUUUGCAAUGUGUCCCCACUAGUUUCACAUUUGAUUACUGAGACCCCUUACUCUUCUGCCAGGAGCCUGAAUGAAGAAACCUUGCUGACAAGACGUGUUGGCCCUCUGACAAAGCAGAGUACAGCUGCAGACCAAAAAGAACAUUCCAGAGUCACAAAAGCUCUAACAAGAGAAGUGUUUCCUCUGUCUGUGACAACUUGGUACCAGCGAUGGCCUAAUUUAAAGAUGGCUUGGAAACCUAAUUUUGUAAGUAUUUUAUUAGCUAUUGUUAUUAAUCAUUUUAUUCCUGAAGGGGU
RNAcentral lists this long non-coding RNA (483 nucleotides) under Gopherus agassizii (Agassiz's desert tortoise). RNAcentral describes it as "lncRNA (ENSGAGG00000010335.1)". The record is from RNAcentral. Lineage: Eukaryota; Metazoa; Chordata; Testudines; Testudinidae.